ACGAGCGGCAGCUUACACAUGCAAGUCGAGGGGUAACAGGGAGCUUGCUCUGCUGACGACCGGCGCACGGGUGCGUAACGCGUAUACAAUCUGCCUUACACUAAGGGAUAGCCCAGAGAAAUUUGGAUUAAUACCUUAUAGUUUAUUAGAAUGGCAUCAUUUUAAUAAUAAAGAUUACGGUGUAAGAUGAGUAUGCGUCCCAUUAGUUUGUUGGUAAGGUAACGGCUUACCAAGACUACGAUGGGUAGGGGCCCUGAGAGGGGGAUCCCCCACACUGGUACUGAGACACGGACCAGACUCCUACGGGAGGCAGCAGUGAGGAAUAUUGGACAAUGGGCGAGAGCCUGAUCCAGCCAUGCCGCGUGCAGGAAGACGGUCCUAUGGAUUGUAAACUGCUUUUAUACAGGAAGAAUAAGGACUACGUGUAGUCUGGUGACGGUACUGUAAGAAUAAGGACCGGCUAACUCCGUGCCAGCAGCCGCGGUAAUACGGAGGGUCCGAGCGUUAUCCGGAAUUAUUGGGUUUAAAGGGUCCGUAGGCGGGCUAUUAAGUCAGGGGUGAAAGUUUGCAGCUCAACUGUAGAAUUGCCUUUGAUACUGAUAGUCUUGAAUUAUUGUGAAGUGGUUAGAAUAUGUAGUGUAGCGGUGAAAUGCAUAGAUAUUACAUAGAAUACCGAUUGCGAAGGCAGAUCACUAACAAUAUAUUGACGCUGAUGGACGAAAGCGUGGGUAGCGAACAGGAUUAGAUACCCUGGUAGUCCACGCCGUAAACGAUGGAUACUAGCUGUUCGGUUUUCGGACUGAGCGGCCAAGCGAAAGUGAUAAGUAUCCCACCUGGGGAGUACGUUCGCAAGAAUGAAACUCAAAGGAAUUGACGGGGGCCCGCACAAGCGGUGGAGCAUGUGGUUUAAUUCGAUGAUACGCGAGGAACCUUACCAGGGCUUAAAUGUAGAUUGACAGGUUUAGAGAUAGACUUUCCUUCGGGCAAUUUACAAGGUGCUGCAUGGUUGUCGUCAGCUCGUGCCGUGAGGUGUCAGGUUAAGUCCUAUAACGAGCGCAACUCG
RNAcentral lists this ribosomal RNA (1063 nucleotides) under Cellulophaga fucicola. Its description in RNAcentral is "bacterial SSU rRNA". It matches the Rfam family "Bacterial small subunit ribosomal RNA", at positions 33 to 1105 of the family's 1533-position model. The record is from RNAcentral. Lineage: Bacteria; Pseudomonadati; Bacteroidota; Flavobacteriia; Flavobacteriales; Flavobacteriaceae.